UUUCCGUAGGUGAACCUGCGGAAGGAUCAUUACUGAGUGAGGGCCCCUCGGGGUCCAACCUCCCACCCGUGUUUAACGAACCUUGUUGCUUCGGCGGGCCCGCCUCACGGCCGCCGGGGGGCAUCUGCCCCCGGGCCCGCGCCCGCCGAAGCCACCUGUGAACGCUGUCUGAAGUAUGCAGUCUGAGACAAUUAUUAAAUUAAUUAAAACUUUCAACAACGGAUCUCUUGGUUCCGGCAUCGAUGAAGAGCGCAGC
This 256-nucleotide unclassified non-coding RNA is filed under the name plant metagenome. RNAcentral's name for it is "partial contains small subunit ribosomal RNA, internal transcribed spacer 1, and 5.8S ribosomal RNA". The stretch from base 208 to 256 matches the Rfam family "5.8S ribosomal RNA", at positions 1 to 49 of the family's 154-position model. The record is from RNAcentral.